This 577-nucleotide ribosomal RNA is filed under the name uncultured bacterium. Its description in RNAcentral is "bacterial SSU rRNA". It matches the Rfam family "Bacterial small subunit ribosomal RNA", at positions 129 to 689 of the family's 1533-position model. The record is from RNAcentral.
CCCCUAAGUCCGGGAUACCAUUUGGAAAUAGGUGCUAAUACCGGAUAAUAAAGCAGAUCGCAUGAUCAGCUUUUGAAAGGCGGCGUAAGCUGUCGCUAAGGGAUGGCCCCGCGGUGCAUUAGCUAGUUGGUAAGGUAACGGCUUACCAAGGCGACGAUGCAUAGCCGAGUUGAGAGACUGAUCGGCCACAUUGGGACUGAGACACGGCCCAAACUCCUACGGGAGGCAGCAGUAGGGAAUCUUCCACAAUGGACGCAAGUCUGAUGGAGCAACGCCGCGUGAGUGAAGAAGGUUUUCAGAUCGUAAAGCUCUGUUGUUGGUGAAGAAGGAUAGAGGUAGUAACUGGCCUUUAUUUGACGGUAAUCAACCAGAAAGUCACGGCUAACUACGUGCCAGCAGCCGCGGUAAUACGUAGGUGGCAAGCGUUGUCCGGAUUUAUUGGGCGUAAAGCGAGCGCAGGCGGAAAAAUAAGUCUAAUGUGAAAGCCCCUCGGCUUAACCGAGGAACUGCAUCGGAAACUGUUUUUCUUGAGUGCAGAAGAGGAGAGUGGAACCUCCCAUGUGUAGCGGUGGAAUGC